This 410-nucleotide ribosomal RNA is filed under the name uncultured microorganism. RNAcentral describes it as "bacterial SSU rRNA". It matches the Rfam family "Bacterial small subunit ribosomal RNA", at positions 509 to 917 of the family's 1533-position model. The record is from RNAcentral.
CAGCCGCCGCGGUAAUACGUAGGUGGCAAGCGUUGUCCGGAAUUAUUGGGCGUAAAGCGCGCGCAGGCGGUUCCUUAAGUCUGAUGUGAAAUCUCGCGGCUCAACCGCGAGCGGCCAUUGGAAACUGGGGAACUUGAGUGCAGGAGAGGGGAGCGGAAUUCCACGUGUAGCGGUGAAAUGCGUAGAGAUGUGGAGGAACACCAGUGGCGAAGGCGGCUCUCUGGCCUGUAACUGACGCUGAGGCGCGAAAGCGUGGGGAGCGAACAGGAUUAGAUACCCUGGUAGUCCACGCCGUAAACGAUGAGUGCUAAGUGUUAGAGGGUAUACACCCUUUAGUGCUGUAGCAAACGCAUUAAGCACUCCGCCUGGGGAGUACGGCCGCAAGGUUGAAACUUAAAGGAAUUGGCGGG